CCUACGGGAGGCAGCAGUGGGGAAUAUUGGACAAUGGGCGAAAGCCUGAUCCAGCCAUGCCGCGUGUGUGAAGAAGGUCUUCGGAUUGUAAAGCACUUUAAGUUGGGAGGAAGGGUUGUAGAUUAAUACUCUGCAAUUUUGACGUUACCGACAGAAUAAGCACCGGCUAACUCUGUGCCAGCAGCCGCGGUAAUACAGAGGGUGCAAGCGUUAAUCGGAAUUACUGGGCGUAAAGCGCGCGUAGGUGGUUUGUUAAGUUGGAUGUGAAAUCCCCGGGCUCAACCUGGGAACUGCAUUCAAAACUGACUGACUAGAGUAUGGUAGAGGGUGGUGGAAUUUCCUGUGUAGCGGUGAAAUGCGUAGAUAUAGGAAGGAACACCAGUGGCGAAGGCGACCACCUGGACUAAUACUGACACUGAGGUGCGAAAGCGUGGGGAGCAAACAGGAUUAGAUACCCUGGUAGUCCACGCCGUAAACGAUGUCAACUAGCCGUUGGAAGCCUUGNGCUUUAGUUGGCGCAGCUACGCAUUAGUUAGACCGCCGUGGGGUACGGGCCGCGAAGGUUAAACGUACAAGUAGAGUUAGUACGGCGUGAGACGUAGCCGAACGGACGACCGACGAGGGGAGGUUAGGG
RNAcentral lists this ribosomal RNA (634 nucleotides) under uncultured bacterium. RNAcentral describes it as "bacterial SSU rRNA". The stretch from base 1 to 542 matches the Rfam family "Bacterial small subunit ribosomal RNA", at positions 338 to 873 of the family's 1533-position model. The record is from RNAcentral.